UGGGGAAUAUUGCACAAUGGGGGAAACCCUGAUGCAGCGACGCCGCGUGAACGAAGAAGGUAUUCGUAUCGUAAAGUUCUGUCCUAUGGGAAGAUAAUGACAGUACCAUAGAAGAAAGCUCCGGCUAAAUACGUGCCAGCAGCCGCGGUAAUACGUAUGGAGCGAGCGUUGUCCGGAAUUAGUGGGCGUAAAGGGUACGCAGGCGGUUUAAUAAGUCGAAUGUUAAAGAUCGGGGCUCAACCCCGCAAAGCAUUGGAAACUGAUAGACUUGAGUAGUGGAGAGGAGAGUGGAAUUCCUAGUGUAGUGGUGAAAUACGUAGAUAUUAGGAGGAAUACCAGUAGCGAAGGCGACUUUCUGGACACAAACUGACGCUGGGGUACGAAAGCGUGGGGAGCAAACAGG
This 403-nucleotide ribosomal RNA is filed under the name bacterium. Its description in RNAcentral is "partial 16S ribosomal RNA". It matches the Rfam family "Bacterial small subunit ribosomal RNA", at positions 355 to 776 of the family's 1533-position model. The record is from RNAcentral.